UGUCAUGGAUAUGCUCUCUUUA
This 22-nucleotide microRNA is filed under the name Eisenia fetida (common brandling worm). RNAcentral's name for it is "Efe-Mir-281-P6_3p (mature (guide))". The record is from RNAcentral. Lineage: Eukaryota; Metazoa; Annelida; Clitellata; Crassiclitellata; Lumbricidae.